AGUGAACGCUGGCGGUAGGCCUAACACAUGCAAGUCGAACGGCAGCACAGUAAGAGCUUGCUCUUACGGGUGGCGAGUGGCGGACGGGUGAGGAAUACAUCGGAAUCUACUUUUUCGUGGGGGAUAACGUAGGGAAACUUACGCUAAUACCGCAUACGACCUACGGGUGAAAGCAGGGGAUCUUCGGACCUUGCGCGAUUGGAUGAGCCGAUGUCGGAUUAGCUAGUUGGCGGGGUAAAGGCCCACCAAGGCGACGAUCCGUAGCUGGUCUGAGAGGAUGAUCAGCCACACUGGAACUGAGACACGGCCCAGACUCCUACGGGAGGCAGCAGUGGGGAAUAUUGGACAAUGGGCGCAAGCCUGAUCCAGCCAUACCGCGUGGGUGAAGAAGGCCUUCGGGUUGUAAAGCCCUUUUGUUGGGAAAGAAAAGCAGCAGGUUAAUACCCCGCUGUUCUGACGGUACCCAAAGAAUAAGCACCGGCUAACUUCGUG
This 492-nucleotide ribosomal RNA is filed under the name uncultured bacterium. RNAcentral describes it as "partial 16S ribosomal RNA". It matches the Rfam family "Bacterial small subunit ribosomal RNA", at positions 29 to 507 of the family's 1533-position model. The record is from RNAcentral.